RNAcentral lists this ribosomal RNA (253 nucleotides) under uncultured bacterium. Its description in RNAcentral is "partial 16S ribosomal RNA". It matches the Rfam family "Bacterial small subunit ribosomal RNA", at positions 524 to 776 of the family's 1533-position model. The record is from RNAcentral.
UACAGAGGUCUCAAGCGUUGUUCGGAUUCAUUGGGCGUAAAGGGUGCGUAGGCGGCGCGGUAAGUCGGGUGUGAAAUCUCGGAGCUUAACGCCGAAACUGCAUUCGAUACUGCCGUGCUUGAGGACUGGAGAGGAGACUGGAAUUUACGGUGUAGCGGUGAAAUGCGUAGAUAUCGUAAGGAAGACCAGUGGCGAAGGCGGGUCUCUGGACAGUUCCUGACGCUGAGGCACGAAGGCCAGGGGAGCAAACGGG